UACAGGCUGCAUCUCAUCUGAAACAUUUGGAUGAGGGGGGAGACAGAGGAAGAGCCUGAAUGGUAGCUACACCCUGCGCCUGGAAGCGUAGAGAAAGAGAAAUAGAGAGGCACUGUUAAAAAAAGAAAAAAGAAAAAAAAAACAACAAAAAAGCUGGCAGUUAUUUUUCUUUUUUGGCAAUAACAAAGAGGUGGGAGAGAGAAAAUAGCACAUAUAAGAGGGGGACUUCUGCUUCAUUUCAUCCGAAAGACUCCAUCCCUGUGCCAUCAUCAGCAUGACCAUAAGCUCUAUAAGUAACAUCCGGCAAUAAUAACAACGGGUAUCAAUAGGAGGUUUCCAGCAACAGAUGCCCGCUAUUUCAUUUUGAUUGGAGAGAAAAAAAGACCUAAAAAAGAUCAACUGAAUGCCUGCGAGAAACUGGACUCUGAAAGCAUAAGGCAGAGCGAUCAAACAGAGAAAUCUACAUUUUGAUUGAUCCUUUUUUUUUUUUUUUAAAGCUUGAUGUGCGUGUCUCUGCGCGCACUCGAAACGAACCUGAGCCAAAAGCAAACUCCUCAGACUCCUCCCUCCUCCUCCUCCCUUCGGUUUCUCGCAUCCUCUCCCUCCUCCCCGGUGCUCUAUGAUCAAUUCGGUGUGUGUAUCCUCUUUCAAAGGGCGCAAGGGUGGGAACAAGUCGUCCAACAAAGCAUGUUACAGCGCAGACAUGACUUGCCCGUCGGAAAGCGAGAAAAUCGUGAUAAACUGCGGGGGGGUGAGGCAUGAGACCUACCGGAGCACCCUGAAAACACUCCCGGGGACCCGCCUGUCGUGGCUCACCGAGCCGGACGCCUUCAGCAACUUCGACUACGACCCCAAAUUGGACGAGUUCUUCUUCGACCGCCACCCGUCCGUCUUCUCAUUCAUCCUUAACUACUACCGCACCGGAAAGUUGCACUGUCCCAACGAUGUGUGCGGUCCACUGUUCGAGGAGGAGCUGGCCUUCUGGGGCAUUGAUGAGACGGACGUGGAGGCGUGCUGCUGGAUGAACUACCGGCAGCACAGGGACGCGGAGGAGGCGCUGGACAGCUUCGAGACCCCGGAGCCGGACGCGCCGGACGACGACCCUGCUCUGGGUGGCGCGGACGGGGACUUGAAAAGACUGUGUCUGCAGGAGGACGCACGAAGAGCUGGUUUUUGGAAGACCUGGCAGCCCAGAAUAUGGGCUCUGUUCGAGGACCCGUAUUCUUCCAAAUAUGCCCGGUAUGUGGCAUUUAUUUCCCUCUUCUUCAUCCUCAUCUCCAUUUCGACAUUCUGCAUGGAGACGCACGAGGCCUUCAACACCAUCCUAAACAAGACAGAGAACGUCACGCAUGGCAACACAACCCGUGAGGAAAUAGUGUACGAAGUGGUGACUGACAGCUGGUUGACAUACGUUGAAGGUGUAUGUGUCAUUUGGUUUACAAUUGAGGUCUUGCUGCGAGUCAUCUUCUGUCCAGACAAGUUGGAAUUCUUCAAAAGUGCCCUCAACAUCAUCGACUUUGUUGCCAUCCUGCCCUUCUACUUGGAGGUUGGCUUGAGCGGUCUCUCCUCCAAAGCUGCCAAGGAUGUCUUGGGGUUCCUCCGUGUUGUCCGAUUCGUCCGUAUCCUUCGAAUCUUUAAGCUCACUCGUCACUUUGUGGGUCUCCGUGUCCUCGGCCACACCCUUCGUGCCAGUACCAAUGAAUUCCUCCUCCUCAUCAUCUUCUUGGCCCUCGGAGUCCUCAUCUUUGCCACUAUGAUCUACUAUGCUGAGCGAAUUGGGGCAGACCCAGAAGACCCUACUGCCAGUGCCCACACCAACUUCAAGAACAUCCCCAUUGGAUUUUGGUGGGCCGUGGUGACAAUGACCACAUUGGGUUAUGGUGAUAUGUAUCCGGAGACAUGGUCAGGAAUGCUGGUUGGUGCGCUCUGUGCCUUGGCUGGUGUGCUAACCAUUGCUAUGCCCGUACCUGUCAUUGUCAACAACUUCGGCAUGUACUAUUCUCUGGCUAUGGCCAAGCAAAAGCUGCCCAAAAAGAAGAACAAACAUAUCCCUCGUGCACCUCAACCAGGUUCACCAAACUACUGCAAGCCGGACGCCCUAGCAAUGGCUACUGCAUCACCACAGAGGAUCUUGGGAAAUGUCUUAGGUGGAGUGAUGGGAUCUGGUGGUUUAGGGGGCGACUGUCCUCUUGCUCAAGAGGAAAUCAUAGAAAUCAAUAGAGAUUCUAAGCAGAACGGUGAUGCAGCCUCGGCUGCUUUGGCUAAUGAGGACUGCCCAACCAUUGAUCAGGUGCUGAGCCCGGACGAACGGAGUCCCAUUGGGCGGGGCCCCACUCGGGAACGUUACCAGCAGGACCGAGCUUGCUUCCUACUCAACACCAGGGAAUUCCGUGCCACAGAUGGGAAUGUGCGGAAAGAGGCAGCAGCCCUGGCUCCCAGCCCACACUCCCCUCUGACUGAGGAUUGGUAUAAGAUGGAGGGGUCUCUGUUACAGCAGGACCUCAAUGCAAACUCCACCUCCUCCUGGAUCAAACCAUAGCCCAGAGGUUGUGUCAUAUCACGCGUGUGCCGCCACUGCAGUGCAAGUGUAACUAAAGUCUGACUCUAGUGUUAAGUUUCUAGCAUUCGCCUUCUCUGUUAGGAGGAGUCAGUAACUGGUAAACAUAAUUGCGGCGGGAGCCACAUAAGCAACAGGCUUUUCACGGAUGGACAGUUGAAAGGAGAUCUUUGAGGUGACGAGAGAGACCAGAGGGUAAUCACGAUAAAAAACAAAACAUAUAUAUAAAUAUAUAUCACAUGGUCUGCUCCUCACAUUGUUACCAAAGCAGCCUCUUGGAUCGCCGACCACAAUUUUUGACAACAGUUCACCUGCCCCUGACCCAGUUCUCCUCCCUAUACCCCCUUACCCUUUCCUUCAAGCUGACUGAGCAUUGCACUGACACACUUUUGGAGAAAAAAGGACUCCUGAUGACACAUUCCAGACAACAUCUCUCUGACAGUGUUAGGAACGCCAUCCUGCUUAUAGACCAAAUCAGCACCGUCUGCAGUGCUGAAAAACUGAGCAAGUUUUCCAGUUAGCACUUGCUAUCACCUGGACUCACUGAACAAUGUAGCAUUUCUGCUAACACACUGUAGCAUCUGUUGGUUGGGAAAUACCUUGUCUAAAAACCAAUCUAUCCACAGUUCAUCGAGAGAGAAAAAUUAUGCAUUCAAGGGAUCUUCUAGAUGUCACUCUUGUAUUCCUUACCAGUGAAAAAGAAAAAAAGUCAUUUAGGGAGCACAUGAGAGACAAAGGAUUGGUCUUGUUCAAUGCACAAAUACCAGAAGAAUCAUAAAUGCAGUCUUUAAAAGCACACCCCGAUCGUCCCUUGUUAAAGUUUAGCACUUGUAUAGUCUUCCAUUAACUUCUAUUAGACUGAAGUACUGCCCUGCUCAUCAAACAGCACUAACUCUGAAGCUGAACAAUCAAAGCACAUGUAGCAUUACCUGAAACAAGUCAUAGAAAUCCAUUUUAUACUCGCCCAAAAAAGUCUUUAUCACUAAAUAGUGUGAAAAGACUUAUCCUUAUCUCUUAUGUACUGGUGUGGGCUUGCACGGAAAUCUAUGUUGAGUACCAAAGGUCUUUUAGCAUGCACUUGCUGAAUGACCCUCUGUAAUGUCAAGUAGAUUAGUAAAGGUAUUUGAUAUAAGGUGAGGCUGCUACUCUCUCUCAUACUAAUCAUCGUCUUUUGGUCCUUUUACUGCCAGUAGCUUCCGGUGCCUCACUGCACAUGAAGGAAAUGUCCCCAUACAUUGGUGACACAGACAUGAGAAGUAAAUAGACUGACUCAAAGAGUCAAACCCUGUUAGGUUAUUGACCUGCCCUGCCUAAAUUACAGCGUUGUUGUGAAGGGGACCAAUGUGAUUACAAUUUCCCCAACACUGCCGUUUAGGCACAAGACUCCUCUGAUGCAUACUGCCCUGCCUCUCUCUUGUCCCUCUUGCUGCCAACAAGUGCUUCACUGGCAACACAAUGUCACGGUGAAGUUCAGGAGGGAGGAGUCCUUUUCGACCAAAAGGAGAUAUUCAGUGAAACAGACCAAGUGCAGAGCAAGCGUGGACAUGUACAAAGAGAACAAAUCUAUAUUUUGAUAAACAAAUCUACGACGCUCCAUGGCUUUGGAGAGGGUUUCCUGUCCGGGAAGAGUCCAGUGAGAGAGAAGAUAGAAAAAAAAAAAGAGUCAAGGUCUCAUACAAGCUGGAAAAGAGAA
Molecule: RNA transcript, 4250 nt
Organism: Cyprinodon tularosa
Lineage: Eukaryota; Metazoa; Chordata; Actinopteri; Cyprinodontiformes; Cyprinodontidae
Gene name: potassium voltage-gated channel subfamily C member 1-like
Exons: 8
Source: RefSeq, a predicted model, not a curated record